This 253-nucleotide ribosomal RNA is filed under the name uncultured bacterium. Its description in RNAcentral is "partial 16S ribosomal RNA". It matches the Rfam family "Bacterial small subunit ribosomal RNA", at positions 524 to 776 of the family's 1533-position model. The record is from RNAcentral.
UACAGAGGGUGCGAGCGUUAAUCGGAAUUACUGGGCGUAAAGCGUGCGUAGACGGUUACAUAAGUCGGGUGUGAAAGCCCCGGGCUCAACCUGGGAAUUGCAUUCGAGACUGCGUAGCUAGGGUGCGGAAGAGGGAAGCGGAAUUUCCGGUGUAGCGGUGAAAUGCGUAGAUAUCGGGAGGAACACCAGCGGCGAAGGCGACUUUCUGGCUGCUAACUGACGCUGAGACGCGAAAGCUAGGGGAGCGAACGGG